RNAcentral lists this ribosomal RNA (579 nucleotides) under Triticum aestivum (bread wheat). RNAcentral describes it as "partial small subunit ribosomal RNA". Lineage: Eukaryota; Viridiplantae; Streptophyta; Magnoliopsida; Poales; Poaceae. The record is from RNAcentral.
AUGUGGUCCCAGAUCGUCGACGACGGGGAGACCAUCUACUCGACGUACAACACGGGCAACAGCUCCGCCCGGAGAUCGCACUGGAAGCUGGACUACACGGGCGACUUGAUGCUCAGGAUCUGGAGUGGCCAGUCAUGGGUGGUUUUGUUCAAGCGCCCAGAUGAUGGCUGUCGCCACUACGGCUCAUGUGGUCCGUUUGGCUACUGCGACAUGACCACCAGAGAGUGCAGGUGCCUUGAUGGGUUUGAGCCGGCGGACGGCUUCAGUGCCAACUUCUCCAGAGGAUGCGUGAGAAAGGAGGCACUGACAUGUCGUGGCUACCAUUUCUCGGCCUUGCCUGAUAAGUUUGUGUAUGUGAGGAGCAGAAGCUUCGAGGAGUGCACUGCUCAGUGUGAGCGUAACUGCUCCUGCACUGCGUACGCUUACGCCAACUUGAGCAGUAUUGUCGCAACUGGUGGUCCAUCAAGAUGCUUGGUCUGGACAGGGGAGCUUGUUGACUUAGAGAAGACAGGCGUACUUGGUGGCAACCUGUACCUUCGGCUUGCUGGUUCUCCUGUACUCGUUUCAUUAUUUUCUUGA